Molecule: ribosomal RNA, 224 nt
Filed under: uncultured bacterium
Lineage: Bacteria
Description: partial 16S ribosomal RNA
Rfam family: Bacterial small subunit ribosomal RNA
Source: RNAcentral
CGGAACACGUACACAACCUUCCUUUAAGCGGGGGAUAGCCCAGAGAAAUUUGGAUUAAUACCCCAUAGAAUGUUGGUGAGGCAUCUCACUGAUAUUAAAGAUUUAUCACUUGAAGAUGGGUGUGCGUCUGAUUAGGUAGUUGGCGGGUAACGGCCCACCAAGCCAUCGAUCAGUAACUGGUGUGAGAGCACGACCAGUCACACGGGCACUGAGACACGGGCCCG